Molecule: ribosomal RNA, 252 nt
Filed under: uncultured bacterium
Lineage: Bacteria
Description: partial 16S ribosomal RNA
Rfam family: Bacterial small subunit ribosomal RNA
Source: RNAcentral
UACGUAGGGUGCAAGCGUUAAUCGGAAUUACUGGGCGUAAAGCGUGCGCAGGCGGUUUUGUAAGUCUGACGUGAAAUCCCCGGGCUCAACCUGGGAAUUGCGAUGGAGACUGCAAGGCUAGAAUCUGGCAGAGGGGGUAGAAUUCCACGUGUAGCAGUGAAAUGCGUAGAGAUGUGGAGGAACACCGAUGGCGAAGGCAGCCCCCUGGGUCAAGAUUGACGCUCAUGCACGAAAGCGUGGGGAGCAAACAGG